AGAGAGGUGGCCGAGUGGCUGAAGGCGCACGCUUGGAAAGCGUGUUCCCGAGAAAUCGGGACGUGAGUUCGAAUCUCAUCCUCUCUG
Molecule: transfer RNA, 87 nt
Filed under: Flavobacteriales bacterium CG_4_9_14_3_um_filter_32_8
Lineage: Bacteria; Pseudomonadati; Bacteroidota; Flavobacteriia; Flavobacteriales
Description: tRNA-Ser
Rfam family: tRNA
About the family: Transfer RNA (tRNA) molecules are approximately 80 nucleotides in length.
Source: RNAcentral